Molecule: ribosomal RNA, 505 nt
Filed under: Stenacron pallidum
Lineage: Eukaryota; Metazoa; Arthropoda; Insecta; Ephemeroptera; Heptageniidae
Description: partial 16S ribosomal RNA
Rfam family: Bacterial large subunit ribosomal RNA
Source: RNAcentral
CUCGAUGUUUAUGGGAGGUCUAGUCUGCCCACUGAAGGAGUUAAAGGGCCGCGGUAUUUUGACCGUGCAAAGGUAGCAUAAUCAUUAGUCUUCUAAUUAAAGGCUGGAAUGAAUGGCUGGACGAGGUAUUAGCUGUCUCUUUGGGAGAGAUUUGAAUUUAACUUUCUAGUGAAAAGGCUGGGAUAGUAUUGGAGGACGAGAAGACCCUAUAGAGCUUUACAUUUACUGUUACUUUAAUUGGUUUGGUUGGAGUUAGAUUUUGUGGCAGGAGUGUUUCGUUGGGGUGACGGGGAGAAAUAAGAAACUCUUCUUGGAAUGAACCACAAAUUAGUGAUUGAUUGAUCCACUUGUAGUGAUUAGAAGACUAAGUUACCUUAGGGAUAACAGCGUAAUCUUUUUUGAGAGUUCUAAUCGACAAGAAGGGUUGCGACCUCGAUGUUGGACUAAGGAUGAUUCUUGGGUGCAGAAGUUCAAGGUUUAGGUCUGUUCGACCUUUGAAUCCUUA